GAGGGGUGAAUGUAGCAGGUAUAUAAAUAUACAGGAAUGCAUUCCACCAAUAAUCCCUCACGUUUUAUUUUAUUGUUCCAAUAUUAUUUAUUGUCACUUUUAUUUUGGUAUGUUUACUACAAAAGACCGUUUUGGGAGCUAAUGCUUUUAUUUUGAAGUCUUCACUUUCGGCAGUGACGUCAUCUACCUGCGUUGCACCCUCUCUCACUCAGUUGUUUGUAUGGCAGACUGAGACUGGUGUGUUGCAGACGUCCAUGUGUAUUAAUGCUGCUGCAUUAUUGUGUUUAUUUCAUGCAGAGGAAUAAAUACGCCACAGUUUCGGUUAAAGACAACAACCGAAUCUCCUUGUCCAUCAAACACGCACAACACAACGCAGAGUCGUAGCAAGGGUCUGCUGAGAAGUAGGCCCAGACCGGCUAC
Notothenia coriiceps (black rockcod) is the source of this 420-nucleotide long non-coding RNA. RefSeq lists it as uncharacterized. The transcript has 3 exons. Lineage: Eukaryota; Metazoa; Chordata; Actinopteri; Perciformes; Nototheniidae. The record is from RefSeq and is a predicted model, not a curated record.